UGUAUGGUGUGUGUGUGUUUGGAAGAGGAGUAAAGAAGAGUGCAAUGUGGCACUUGGGGAAAGGACAGAGAUGCUGCAGGGAGAUAUUUGCUGAUAUUUUUGCUUUGAGGGCUGCAGUGUAACCCUCUCCUAUCUUCUACUUUCAAGAAAAUAAAGUUUUCAGAGAGGCUUCACGGUUGACCAAGGGUCUGUGUGAGCUGGAAGUGCAGCCUGGGGCUGUGCCAUGGCAGAGUGACACCGGAGGAGCAGGGGAGGUUUGAACAUAAGGGUUUUACAGCACCAAGAAACCUUAGCUCCAUUAUCUUACACUUGGAGGUCUCUCACGGAUAAAUCAGCUGCUUUUCAAAAUAGAAGAGACUUAUGAAAAUGUAUCACUUGGCAGACAUAGAAAGCAGCUGCUUAUCAUCAUUAAUUUUCAAUAAAUAUGUAUUAAGCAACAGGAUAUAGAUCACUCUGUGAGGUUCAGGACCUUGGGAAAAUACAGUAUCCUAGAGACAGCAUUAACACAAGGCACGACUCAAGGCCGCUCCUGUCAUCUACACCCCUCCCGCUCUGCACGGCUGACUCAGAGCCUCCUGGCCUGCGGAGGAGCAAGAGGCACUGCACAGGCCACAGCGGGUUGUGAUCCAGGAGAGGCCAUUGGUUGGGGCGGGGGGAUGUUAAUUCCUCUGAGGUUGUGGGCAGGGGAGAUUUUCUUGGAGGACAUUCAUUUCCCAGUGGGGAGGGAAGAUUGAGACUAUAAUGUCUCUAGGGAAAUUUAAUAAUUAAGGAAGGUCCACAUGAUGGAACUGUGGGCCAUUUUCUAUUUCAGGCCUUAUGGUUAUUUUGCCUUUACCAUAGGGCGGUGCUUAUCACCAGCAAGACUGACCAACAAACCAGCUGUGGAGGGAAAUUGAGAGUGGGCUCCCUGCUGAAGACAGUAGACAUGGCCAUCAAUUAAUGUCCUGUUUUCUCCCGUGCAGAGCCUCUCAGGGCCAAAGCUGGAUUGUACCGGGCUGGGAAAACAAAAAAUAAAUACAUGGGGAGAGAAUGUUGAGGGGUGACUUGCUAACCAGUCAGUUGAAUUCCAGGCACAGAUUGAGUUGCUUCUGGAGUGGGCAGGGUCACUGUGAACGCCUACGUGAGCCUCUUCUGCACCACACAGCAGAAACUUAUUGAAAUUGGCAUCUUUGGGAGCUCGCUGUCAUCUCUUCACAAAACAUCCCCACGGAAAGCCAAACUUUCCCUUAGCAAGCGUGGCAACGUCCCAGAGUGCAGCCUGGAUCCCGUCAAGGAUAUCACAUGAUACUUCCUUGUCAUGUUUCCUUAGGCUCAUCUUGACUGUCCAUUUCUCAGACCUUCCUUGAUUUUGGUGACCUUGACAAUGUUGAGGAACAGUGGUCAGGUGAUUAGGACCUGAUGAAAUUAGGUCCCGGCACAGGGAGGUGGAUGAAAGUGAACUGAGAAGCAUCUGGACCACUUCUUCUUGCAUUUUGGUGCCUUCUGGACCUGCUCCCAUACGUACCCCUACCAUCAUCCAAUGGAUUGCUACAGCAUUCACUGAAUCUGAUGACUUGGCAAAUUCCAGGCUCCUUUGGAAGAAUGACAAUGCUACAGAAAAGCACAUGGAUUUGCAGCUUCGUGGACAUCACCUGUGAGGGUGACAGCUCUUUACUCUCAGUGAGUUCCCCAGAUGGAGGAAAGUGAAGCCAGGCUUACUGAGGAAAAAAAACAACCCUCAGAAAUCAAAAUCAGACAGCUAUACCCGGUCUGGCUGCCCCAGAGCGGGAAGACCUGAACCUUGGCAGGGCUGGCUGCUGUGCUGACCAGUCUGAUAUCAAGAAGAGAAGUGAUUUUCCGAUCCUGCAUCCGGUACAGCUGUGCGGACUCUGCUCUUCCUGCCAUUCCACCAAGAAAUUAAAAAGCAAUUUUCUUUUGAAGUUCUGGGGUUUUUUUGUUUUUUGUUUUUUUCAUUUAAGAUUACACUUUGAGGUCAGAAAAUGAGACAUAAGGAAUUCACAAACACACACGCAUUCGAUUCAGAAACAUUCCACCCUCCACAUCCCCAUUUUAAACUGUCCUGAGGCCCAGAUGGUUUACAGCUUGAGCCGGCUUAGGCUGGCAAGCAUUUCAGGGAUCUGGUUGACUACGUUUUCCUGAAACAGAGGUAUUUUAUGCAUUAAGCUGAUCAACACCGGGGAGAAUGGGGCACCCUAACUGCCUUUAAGUAAUAUCUUAUGAAGCUCUUUUAGGAUUAGCAGCAGAACAAAAUACACCCAGGAAUCAAGGGUAUAAAGCAAUGAAGAUUGUGUUUCACCUUGCAAUAUUGUGAGUAGUGUUGUUUAUUCAAGGCAGUGUUAAUUUUUAUAAUUUUUAAGCUUGUAUGUAUGUUUUUCUCCUCAGAUGAUUAUGGUCUGUAUCAGUUGCAGUUCAAGCAGGAAGUAGAAACCACACAGUAACUUAAACGGGGAAAGUUGAGUAUAAAGAAUUAAUAAGUAAAAUGUAGAACUGGAGUAACAAGGGAUUGGCUAGUGAGAAGUGAACUCUAAAGAAUACAAAGCAGCAGAUAGAGGGAGCCGCCACUCUCCGUCCCUGGAGCUGAGAUGGAUGCUCGUGGAAGGGCCCUCGCUUCCAGGGCUGAAAAGAUUCAGACAUGCCGAGAGGGCACAGCCAUAGCUCAGUGGGUGGCAGGGAAUUUUUGCAAGUGCUGUGGUGUUGCAACAGCAGAACUUGCUAGAAAUGGGCCUCUUUUCUUCAAAUCGAAGGAAAGACAUUUCCCCAAACUGAAGAGGACAAAAAUGAAGAAAUUCUUAGCCUUUCCCUCAAAUCAGGAGCCCCAUAGUUCUCAAGGUCAUUAUAUUGGUGAUGGGCUAUAUUAAUCACUUCUCAAAUUCAAUCGUAGUCUAACUCAUGUUUUCUGCAUAUAUUAUAAAAUGAAUU
Molecule: long non-coding RNA, 2919 nt
Filed under: Homo sapiens (human)
Lineage: Eukaryota; Metazoa; Chordata; Mammalia; Primates; Hominidae
Description: HSALNT0309683
Source: RNAcentral